Molecule: long non-coding RNA, 1208 nt
Filed under: Phoenix dactylifera (date palm)
Lineage: Eukaryota; Viridiplantae; Streptophyta; Magnoliopsida; Arecales; Arecaceae
Description: long non-coding RNA (PDAC_LNC009095)
Source: RNAcentral
UUUUAAUUUGAUAAGUAAAAUACCACAUGCAUGCAAGUAAGAGAGAAAAUUUAAUAUUACCUAGAAAUAACAAUCACUUGAGCAAGAUAUAUUCCACUCGAGAAUAAAUCAAAAUGCUUGCAAUCUAUGUGCCUUACUUUUUUCCAAUUCAUGCAUCUGAAUUUUCUUUUCCAGUUCGUUGUUGCUAUAAACAAGCUAAUUUGUUUCAUUAAUUGUGCGGCAUAUUAUGGAACACAUGUUUCAUGCAUACAAAAAGUUCUCGUAAUGUGAGCAUUUUCUGUGACUUGUGAAAAUUAGUGGAAUAAAUGGACGUUUAGGUGAAGGUUUGUUUUUUAAUAAGCGUGGUUCGAUGAUGAGUUGCCAGGCCCGCAUCUCAUACACCCGGUGAACUUUGUGAGCUUGCACUAAAAGGCACCCCCAAAAAUUUUUCUUUAAUUAAUUAUGUUUUAAGUUUUAGGAGGAUCCCUAGUUUCAUGAUUUGUCGCUUCUUUGAUUAAUAUGUUUCUAAUUAUUGAGAUGCUUGGAUGUUUGAAAUAUUUUUAGUUGCCAUUUUUAAAACUUGAAAUAUAGUUGGCUGCCUGGGCACUCACUUGAAGGCGAGAAGGUGGGAUGGGACUUUUAUUAAUUAGAUGGAGUGAAUUUCCCAUAAUGCCCCUACUUUCUCUCACAAAGAGGUUCCUUCUCGGACAAAUUCUUUCCUUUACCUUGACCAUGAAGUGCCAUGGGAUAACCUUUUCCUACUCUUCCCUUGAUUGACAUGGUAAACAGUACUGCCAAGCAUUAUCUCAGUUAUUUAAUCAGUUUUAUGGGCCCUUCCAUCAAGAGAGAAGACUCGUAGCCAGCUCCUGUUCCCGUUUUAUAUGGGGCCUUUGCUUCCUUUUGGUUAGCCUCCCGGAGGCCUUCCAUUGGCCCGAGGCCUUAGGCGACUGCCUCAGUCGUCUAGGGCUCGGGCCGGCCCUGGUGCAAAGAAAGAGAUACAAAGAGUAUAGGAUAAAUUUAAUUUUAACUAAUUUAUACUUUUAAAUAUAAUUUCUAAAUUUUUAUGUAUUAAAAAUAUAAAAUGUUAUAUACAUAUUUCUCAACAAACAUCCUAAUAAACUCAUAUAUAUAUAUAUAUAUAUGUAUAUGUAUAUAUAUCUUUUUGUAUGCAUGAAACAUGUGCUCCAUAGUAUGCCGUACGGUUAAUGAAACAAAUUACCUUGCUUGAC